GCCAGCGUGGCGUAGUGGUUUGAGCGAUGGACUAAGACAUUGGGAGUCCUGGGUUCGAAUCCCACCCCAGCCA
This is a non-coding RNA of Phrynosoma platyrhinos (Desert horned lizard), 73 nucleotides long. Lineage: Eukaryota; Metazoa; Chordata; Lepidosauria; Squamata; Phrynosomatidae. The record is from the annotation of a GenBank genome assembly.